This 272-nucleotide long non-coding RNA is filed under the name Homo sapiens (human). Its description in RNAcentral is "non-protein coding LINC01858:14". The record is from RNAcentral. Lineage: Eukaryota; Metazoa; Chordata; Mammalia; Primates; Hominidae.
CAUCUGGCCACAGUUGGGAUGGUGACUCAUUUCUAAACCCAGCUUGUAGGAAGGUGAGGACUCUCCUAUCUGGACUCAACCAAUUGGAGAGAUGUUGACUGUCAUAUCUGGACGUAGAACCACAGGGAAGACUCUGGAUCUCCUUCCUGUAUGAAGGUCACAGAGGAUCACCAUUCUUGCAUAUUGUAUAAAGCCUUCAGGUGACACAGAGAGUGUCAUAAGAGAACACAGCACACAGAUGCACGUGACAUUUGGUGCCGAAGACCCAGGAU